Molecule: unclassified non-coding RNA, 1447 nt
Filed under: uncultured fungus
Lineage: Eukaryota; Fungi
Description: sequence contains 18S rRNA gene, ITS1, 5.8S rRNA gene, ITS2, 28S rRNA gene
Rfam family: Eukaryotic large subunit ribosomal RNA (bases 481-1447)
Source: RNAcentral
GGAAGGAUCAUUAACACUAUCCAUAUCACCUUAACCAAGCCUUCAGUGCCGCUUGAGCGCUCUCACGAGCCUUGAGCGUGCUCUACAAAAGUUUCUCUAAAGAAACCUAACUAAGCUAAACCACUAUAUCAAAUUCUCAACGAUGGAUAUCUUGGUUCCCAUAACGAUGAAGAACGCAGCGAAGUGCGAUAAGCAGUGCGAAUUGCAGAACCGUGAGUCAUCAGAUUUUUGAACGCAACUGGCGCCUGUUGGAAUCCCAGCAGGCAUGCUUGUUUCAGUGUCUCGUUUUCUCCUCACCUAAAUCUUAAUGCGAGAGAUACCCUUCUCUUGUGAAGUAUGAAAGCGCUCUGAGCCUUGCGAGCGGAAAUGGCUUCGGUCAUCUCUGCGCUCAAUGCAGCUGUCACAUUUAACAAUGUGAACUCGUUGAGAGCCAGGUCAGUGCAGUAUAUCUGCGAGCGCUUAGCUCCUUAAACUCUACUUGCAUCUGAAAUCAAGCAGGAUUACCCGCUGAACUUAAGCAUAUCACUAAGCGGAGGAAAAGAAAUUAACUAAGAUUGCCUCAGUAACGGCGAGUGAAGCGGCAAAAGCCCAAAGUGGAAAUCUCCGAGCCUCGCUCGGCGAAUUGUAAUCUAUAGGUUGGAAGCUCAAAAGGAUGUGGCGCAGAAGUGUCCUAGAACGGACCGCCAGAGAGGGUGACAGCCCCGUAUGUGGUGCCAGAUCCUAACGAGCUCUGAUCAAUGAGUCGGGUUGUUUUGAAUUGCAGCCCUAAUUGGGAGAUAGACUUCUUCUAAGGCUAAAUAUAUAUGGGAAACCGAUAGCGAACAAGUACUGUGAAGGAAAGAUGAAAAGAACUUUGAAAAGAGAGUUAAAAGACUUGAAAUCGUUGAGAAGGAAGCGGUAGAAAUUUAUUCUCUGGUAAGAACGAAGGUGUUCACCAAACCACUGCAGUUAGUCCGAUCGUCAAAGGCGGCUGGCGGCAUUUGGGGAAGUGAUAGCUGGGUUCUUGCCGUGAGGCAAAAUGGGGUCUCGUUCCCUCAAAAGCUGGGAGAGCCUGGAUUCCUUCGGGAGUCAGUUCGCUUGUGCUAGAGGGCGCGGGGCCUGAGGAAGCCUUGUGCGAUUUUGCCAAAAUGGUUUUUACCGACCCGUCUUGAAACACGGACCAAGGAGUCUAACAAAUAUGCGAGUAUGCUGGUGCAAAAACCAACAUGCGUAAUUAACGUGAUUGAUGCCAAGCUCCCUGCAGCAUCGACCGACCAUGAUCCUCUGGAGAAAGGUUUGAGUAUGAGCAUAUCUGUUAGGACCCGAAAGAUGGUGAACUAUGCCUGAGUAGGGUGAAGCCAGGGGAAACUCUGGUGGAGGCUCGUAGCGGUUCUGACGUGCAAAUCGAUCGUCAAACUUGGGUAUAGGGGCGAAAGACUAAUCGAACCAUCUAGUAGCUGGUUCCCUC